AGACGGAUUUCUAGAACUAGCCUUAUUAAGGAAAAAGAAAUGUAAUAGAUGCCCCAACCUAAGAAAUCCAGGGAGUUCUACCACUCUAUCAAGUUCCUAAGACGAUUUCUUUCCUUCAUAAUCCUCAGCCAAGUUCAAAGAGUAAAGCCCCAGGCUGAAACAGACCGGCCAGCUCCAUGAGUCUGAAUAUUCUCUGAAGACAUGCUUUGGCCCAUGUCUUCACAUACUUGAUGGUUCAGAUUUGAUUUUUAAAACUGUGUUAUUAAGGAUUCUCAAACAGCCGUUCCGCAACAUAACUUUCUGUUGCUGUCAUAUGGACCUCAUAAAGUCAAAUAACCAUUUUUUUCUUUUUUUCCUGUAUGCUUAAAGACACCCUUCCUGCAACUGUGUAUGACGUAUUUUACCAGUACAAUCUUUCCCAAUAUUCCAAAGGGCUCCAGCAACAGGAAGUUGUAAAGGUA
This is a long non-coding RNA of Ochotona princeps (American pika), 461 nucleotides long. RefSeq lists it as uncharacterized. The record is from RefSeq and is a predicted model, not a curated record. Lineage: Eukaryota; Metazoa; Chordata; Mammalia; Lagomorpha; Ochotonidae. The transcript is spliced from 3 exons.